This 571-nucleotide ribosomal RNA is filed under the name uncultured bacterium. Its description in RNAcentral is "partial 16S ribosomal RNA". It matches the Rfam family "Bacterial small subunit ribosomal RNA", at positions 355 to 918 of the family's 1533-position model. The record is from RNAcentral.
UGGGGAAUUUUGGACAAUGGGCGAAAGCCUGAUCCAGCAAUGCCGCGUGUGUGAAGAAGGCCUUCGGGUUGUAAAGCACUUUUGUCCGGAAAGAAAUCCUUGGCUCUAAUACAGUCGGGGGAUGACGGUACCGGAAGAAUAAGCACCGGCUAACUACGUGCCAGCAGCCGCGGUAAUACGUAGGGUGCAAGCGUUAAUCGGAAUUACUGGGCGUAAAGCGUGCGCAGGCGGUUUGCUAAGACCGAUGUGAAAUCCCCGGGCUCAACCUGGGAACUGCAUUGGUGACUGGCAGGCUAGAGUAUGGCAGAGGGGGGUAGAAUUCCACGUGUAGCAGUGAAAUGCGUAGAGAUGUGGAGGAAUACCGAUGGCGAAGGCAGCCCCCUGGGCCAAAUACUGACGCUCAUGCACGAAAGCGUGGGGAGCAAACAGGAUUAGAUACCCUGGUAGUCCACGCCCUAAACGAUGUCAACUAGUUGUUGGGGAUUCAUUUCCUUAGUAACGUAGCUAACGCGUGAAGUUGACCGCCUGGGGAGUACGGUCGCAAGAUUAAAACUUAAAUGAAUUGACGGGG